CCUACGGGUGGCAGCAGUGGGGAAUAUUGCACAAUGGGGGAAACCCUGAUGCAGCGACGCCGCGUGAAGGAAGAAGUAUUUCGGUAUGUAAACUUCUAUCAGCAGGGAAGAAAAUGACGGUACCUGACUAAGAAGCCCCGGCUAACUACGGGCCAGCAGCCGCGGGAAUACGUAGGGGGCAAGCGUUAUCCGGAUUGACUGGGGGUAAAGGGAGCGUAGGCGGUUUAGCAAGUCAGAAGUGAAAGCCCGGGGCUCAACUCCGGGACUGCUUUUGAAACUGUUGAACUAGCGUGCAGGAGAGGUAAGUGGAAUUCCUAGUGUAGCGGUGAAAUGCGUAGAUAUUAGGAGGAACACCAGUGGCGAAGGCAGCUUACUGGACUGUAAAUGACGCUGAGGCUCGAAAGCGUGGGGAGCGAACAGGAUUAGAUACCCUUGUAGUC
This 440-nucleotide ribosomal RNA is filed under the name uncultured bacterium. RNAcentral describes it as "partial 16S ribosomal RNA". It matches the Rfam family "Bacterial small subunit ribosomal RNA", at positions 338 to 795 of the family's 1533-position model. The record is from RNAcentral.